RNAcentral lists this ribosomal RNA (250 nucleotides) under uncultured bacterium. RNAcentral describes it as "partial 16S ribosomal RNA". It matches the Rfam family "Bacterial small subunit ribosomal RNA", at positions 524 to 775 of the family's 1533-position model. The record is from RNAcentral.
UACGUAGGUGGCAAGCGUUGUCCGGAAUUAUUGGGCGUAAAGCGCGCGCAGGCGGCCUCUUAAGUCUGAUGUGAAAGCCCCCGGCUCAACCGGGGAGGGCCAUUGGAAACUGGGAGGCUUGAGUAUAGGAGAGAAGAGUGGAAUUCCACGUGUAGCGGUGAAAUGCGUAGAGAUGUGGAGGAACACCAGUGGCGAAGGCGCUCUUUGGCCUAUAACUGACGUGAGGCGCGAAGGCGUGGGGAGCAAACAG